Long non-coding RNA from Numida meleagris (helmeted guineafowl), 1831 nucleotides. The record is from Ensembl. NCBI's taxonomy places the organism in Eukaryota, Metazoa, Chordata, Aves, Galliformes, Numididae.
GCAAAUCAAAACAGAGAGACUUCAAAGCUGAGAUUCUUAUGCCGCAAGCUGCAGGGGAACCAUAUGCUUCUCCGCUGUAGGAAGAAAGAGACUCCCGGUCUGCCAGGAGGCUUCACCAGUCCCCUCCAGACACAAAGACCCCUGGGGAGUGCAGCUCCUCCCCUUCCCGUAGGAGAACCAAGCACCCAAAAAAGGCAGGCCCCAGAAAUCAGGACAUUAACUCUUUAACUGUCGGUGCUUUACGUGAUGUUAUGAUGUAGAAUACAGACAACAAAAAAAAGCACAAAACCAUGACACUGACUGUUAAUGCUGAUGGGAUGUUGGGAAGACAGUGAGAGUGAUGUCUCACCACUUUAUUCUCUUUGUAAUUCUUUGAUUGCUCAAGCCACAGUCCACUGUGUUGGAGUGACUGGACUGCUGCAGCCAUGGAUUGUUAGGAUGUAGAGAAAGAUUAUCUGUAUUACUUCUUCGUAACCAAUAAGACUUUACAGAACUGGCAAUUAUCCUAUCCCUGCACAAAGUGUUUCUGUUUGCCUCAACGCUUGGAUCACUGAAUCCCAAAUGUGCAGUAGGUUUCUGACUUUGUCUGGAGCAAUGACAUAGAUGGCCGUAGAUGUUUCUCAGCACUGGGGCCUGCUUUCCUCAGCCAAACUCACCUUAACAUCACAGAAAAUUGGCAGAAAACACAGGGUCCCACAGAUGUAUGUCAUAUGGCUAGGACCUAGGUGCCACACAGCGGUGCUCUUGACUCCAUGUUGCUCAAAGGCCUGUGCUGGCUGGAGGGAGUUAAAGCAGCAAGCCUACCAGAACUGGCUUUGGAAGGAGGGCUAAGACUCAGCUCUGCAAAGAAGGUGAACCAUCCAGUGGGAUGAGGCAUUUUCUUGCCCGACUGAUCUACUAAGUCAGAUAUGGAAAGAAUCACAGAAAUGAAGGGACCUCAAGAGAGCAUUGAGUCCAAACUCCUGCUAAAGCAGGUACAAAGAAAUAUAUAAUGACAGCUUACAAAAAUCCCAAGUUUUUAUUUUUGUAGCUAUUGUUCCUUCCCAUUUCCUCUGUUUUCUUCUGUCUGUAGAAGAUUCAUCCCGGUUCAUAUCUCAGCAUCCUCCCGGAAUCAGGGACAGAUACAUUUCUCUGGGUCAGUCAUGAAUAUGAAGAGAAGUAAGGCAGAUGGAGAGGAGAUGCACCUUCUCCAUGUAAGGAGAGGACCACACAAAAUUAAGAACAGCCAUGGUGGACCCAGGUAGGAACCCCAUUCUUGGGGGCAGUCAGCAGUGGCACUGGCCUAAUGUCAGUUGAAAUAUCCCUUUUUCUCUCAAGAAAAGCUCUGUAUCUAGUGUACAUCUUCACCUGUAUCAAGGCUAUGGCUCAGUGAAAUCACCAAGAAUGAUUUAAUUGACUUUUGUGUACUUUUAAUCUAAUCCUCUGAACUGUAGCAUUCUGAUAGCCAAUGUUUAGCCUUAUUCAUUUAGGAGUUCAGUUCACCUCUCACUGAGAAUUUCUGAAAGCCUUACUGAAAAAUGGAUUGGGCAUUUAGCUAUUUAUGAGAAUCUUGCUUUUAAACUGUGAGAAGAUAUCUUUUUAAUUAAUCCUCACAGAAAACAAUUGAAUGCUUGACCUACAAGGAUAAUUACUUGUGUUCUGCUUUGAUUACUUUGUAAAAGUUUUAUUGGAUUUAUAUAGUGUACUGCAUAAUAUGUGAUCUAAAAUUGGAGCUCUUUACUACAGCAUGGAGUGGAGCUUUAUACUGCAGCAUAAACUUUAUAGAAUUGACAACCAUGUUGUCUAUAUAAAAACAUCAUUCUGUAAUUAGUCUUAUUAGUAUAAUUUUUUA